Molecule: ribosomal RNA, 317 nt
Filed under: uncultured eukaryote
Lineage: Eukaryota
Description: partial 18S ribosomal RNA
Rfam family: Eukaryotic small subunit ribosomal RNA
Source: RNAcentral
CCCUUAGAUGUUCUGGGCCGCACGCGCGCUACACUGAUCAGUGCAACAAGCAUCCGUCCUUGGCCGACAGGCCCGGGCAAUCUUUGAACGCUGAUCGUGAUGGGGAUAGACUUUUGCAAUUUUUGGUCUUCAACGAGGAAUUCCUAGUAAACGCAAGUCAUCAACUUGCAUUGAUUACGUCCCUGCCCUUUGUACACACCACCCGUCGCACCUACCGAUUGAAUGGUCCGGUGAAGCCUCCGGAUUGGCGUGCACCCUCGGGUGCUGCCGAGAAGUUGGCUAAACCUUACCAUUUAGAGGAAGGUGAAGUCGUAACA